This 517-nucleotide ribosomal RNA is filed under the name uncultured bacterium. Its description in RNAcentral is "bacterial SSU rRNA". It matches the Rfam family "Bacterial small subunit ribosomal RNA", at positions 57 to 564 of the family's 1533-position model. The record is from RNAcentral.
GCAAGUCGAACGGUAACAGGAAACAGCUUGCUGUUUCGCUGACGAGUGGCGGACGGGUGAGUAAUGUCUGGGAAACUGCCUGAUGGAGGGGGAUAACUACUGGAAACGGUAGCUAAUACCGCAUAACGUCGCAAGACCAAAGAGGGGGACCCUCGGGCCUCUUGCCAUCGGAUGUGCCCAGAUGGGAUUAGCUUGUUGGUGGGGUAACGGCUCACCAAGGCGACGAUCCCUAGCUGGCCUGAGAGGAUGACCAGCCACACUGGAACUGAGACACGGUCCAGACUCCUACGGGAGGCAGCAGUGGGGAAUAUUGCACAAUGGGCGCAAGCCUGAUGCAGCCAUGCCGCGUGUAUGAAGAAGGCCUUCGGGUUGUAAAGUACUUUCAGCGGGGAGGAAGGGAGUAAAGUUAAUACCUUUGCUCAUUGACGUUACCCGCAGAAGAAGCACCGGCUAACUCCGUGCCAGCAGCCGCGGUAAUACGGGGGUGCAAGCGUUAAUCGGAAUUACUGGGCGUAAA